CAGUCGCCGCGGGAAUACGUAGGGUGCGAGCGUUAAUCGGAAUUACUGGGCGUAAAGCGUGCGCAGGCGGUUAUAUAAGACAGAUGUGAAAUCCCCGGGCUCAACCUGGGACCUGCAUUUGUGACUGUAUAGCUAGAGUACGGUAGAGGGGGAUGGAAUUCCGCGUGUAGCAGUGAAAUGCGUAGAUAUGCGGAGGAACACCGAUGGCGAAGGCAAUCCCCUGGACCUGUACUGACGCUCAUGCACGAAAGCGUGGGGAGCAAAUAGGAUUAGAUACCCCGGUAGUCCCUGUCUCUUAUAC
This 301-nucleotide ribosomal RNA is filed under the name uncultured bacterium. RNAcentral's name for it is "partial 16S ribosomal RNA". It matches the Rfam family "Bacterial small subunit ribosomal RNA", at positions 509 to 807 of the family's 1533-position model. The record is from RNAcentral.